RNAcentral lists this long non-coding RNA (1745 nucleotides) under Paramuricea clavata. The record is from RNAcentral. Lineage: Eukaryota; Metazoa; Cnidaria; Anthozoa; Malacalcyonacea; Plexauridae.
CAAAGCUUUGAAACUUGAAUUUUUAGAAUACUCAGUCAGAAGUUUACAGUAAAAAAAUCUUUUGUGGAGAGAAAAGGAAAACUUGAAUCAAAUCAUGUCUGAUCAGUGUGAAGAGAGGCAUAAAAGAACACACACAAGCGGCAAACCUAAUCAAUGCGAUGUUACUAAGACGAAAUUUAGACAAGCAGGUCAUUUUGCUGCUCGUAUGAAAAGAACACACAAUAGAGACAAGUCUUAUGAUUGUGAUGUUUGUAAGAAGAGUUUUAAAAGAUCACAUAAUUUGGUAAGACAUAAGAGAACACACACGGGGGAAAAACCUUAUGAAUGUGAUGUUUGUGAGAAGAAAUUUAGAGAAUCGGGCAAUUUGGUAAAACAUAAGAGAACACACACAGGAGAAAACCCUUAUGAAUGUGAAGUUUGUAAGAAGAAAUUUGGACAAUCAAGUAAUUUAGCUGUACAUAAAAGAACACACACUGGAGAUAAACCUUAUGAAUGUGAUGUUUGUAAGAAGAAAUUUAAAGUAUCAGAUCAUUUGGUAAAACAUAUGAGAACACAUACAGGAGACAAACCUUAUGAAUGUGAUGUUUGUAAGAAGAGAUUUAGCCAUUCAGGUAAUCUACCUAAACAUAAAAGAACACACACUGGAGACAAGCCUUAUGAAUGUGAUGUUUGUAAGAAGAAAUUUAGACAAUCAAGUCAUUUAGUUACACAUAAAAGAACACACACUGGAGACAAGCCUUAUGAAUGUGAUUUUUGCAAGAAAAGAUUUAUACAAAUAGGAGGUCUUAAUUGGCACAAAAAGGAGCAUUUGUUUUGCAAUAGUUGCCACAUGGAGAUUAUUGAACCACAAAAUUUGCAAGAACAUUUUGUUGAGGAUAAAAGCACUGGAAAGUACACUUGUAACAAAUGUAACAAGCAAUUUUCUAAUUUUAUCAAAUUGGUUCAACAUAUAGCAAGACAACAUGGCAAUGAUGUAAACUAUCAAUGUGGUUUAUGUCAAGAACUUGAAUCAAAAGAACCAACUGGUGUUGGAUAUAUUUGUUGUGUUUGUGAUGUUGUAUUUGAUGUUCCCAGAGAUCUCGAAGAUCACAUGGCCACCCAUGACUCAAUCUGAAUAUUGUUGCUGGCUUUGAGUAUUCAGCGAGUUUAUGCAUAUAUAGGACAUUCAGAUUGCAGUUUAUAUGAAAUAUACAUUGGCAUUUGUAGCAGACUAGUUGUUUAUAUUUCUCAUGCCUAUUAUUUUACUGUUGUGUGAGCUGAUGUUGAUCACUAGAUAGGGAGAGAUCAUUAUGUUCCUGGUGUUAAAUAUGUGAAAUAUGAACAGUAGAAUGUAUGGAGGGAGAAUUUGGCUUUUAGAAAUAUUGUUAUGUCAAUAUCUUGUGUCAAUAUAUACAGUUACAUUAAAGCGGUCAGUGCAGAAACGUGUGUGAAUAAAGCCCCAUACAAUUAUAUCAAAGUGUUCAGUCUCUGCACUCUGGCGUUGAGUGCACAAAUUCCAUGGCCACGAAACAUACAGAAGCGAGAACGCUUUGAUAGAGCUGUAUGGAGUUAUUCACGCGUGUUUCUGUAUAGAGAUAAUGUAUGGGCUAAUAUAUUGUUAUAAUAGGUCAUAGUCGGUUCCCCUGUGAUUAUUGUAGUUAAUUUUAAUAUUUAUUUUAGGGGUGUGGGUAAUUAUCAGAUUUGGGACAAUCAGUUUGGUGUUGUGUUUGUUGUGUUGAACAAUUGAGAACUGACAAUUGAUUGGG